GCCCAGACUCCUACGGGAGGCAGCAGUGAGGAAUAUUGGUCAAUGGGCGGGAGCCUGAACCAGCCAAGCCGCGUGAAGGAAGAAGGCGCCAGGCGUCGUAAACUUCUUUUGUCGGGGAACAAAGGGCGCCACGUGUGGCGUUGUGAGUGUACCCGAAGAAAAAGCAUCGGCUAACUCCGUGCCAGCAGCCGCGGUAAUACGGAGGAUGCGAGCGUUAUCCGGAUUUAUUGGGUUUAAAGGGAGCGUAGAUGGGUUGUUAAGUCAGUUGUGAAAGUUUGCGGCUCAACCGUAAAAUUGCAAUUGAUACUGGCAGCCUUGAGUACAGUUGAGGUAGGCGGAAUUCGUGGUGUAGCGGUGAAAUGCUUAGAUAUCACGAAGAACUCCGAUUGCGAAGGCAGCCUACUAAACUGCCACUGACAUUGAUGCUCGAAAGUGUGGGUAUCAAACAGGAUUAGAUACCCGGGUAAU
This 468-nucleotide ribosomal RNA is filed under the name uncultured bacterium. RNAcentral's name for it is "bacterial SSU rRNA". It matches the Rfam family "Bacterial small subunit ribosomal RNA", at positions 329 to 794 of the family's 1533-position model. The record is from RNAcentral.